UUUGAUAAUCGGCGGCCGUUGCCUCCCUCCGCCUCACUACUUCUCCUUACACCCGCUCUCUUCCCUCCUUUUAUCUCCUCACUGCUCAAACCCCCAACCGAUUCCAAACCCUACACGUUAGGGUUUAUCAAUUUCAAUCUCUCUCUCUCUCUCUUUUUCUGAAAAAUUCAAUUUAGGGUUUUCGUCACUGUAACAGAAGCUGACCAAUUUCCAAAGAUGUCGAAGAGAAAAUUCGGAUUCGAAGGCUUUGGCAUAAACAAGCAAUCCACCUUCGAUUUCGAGCGGUCACAGCAAGCCCCUCGGCGGCUCUACGUCCCUCCGUCGUCUCGCGGCGGAAACAGCCACGACAACUUCGAAGACACCGACCUCGACAACAUUGAUUACGACGACAACGAUGGUUCCAAUGAUCCCGGGAAUGAUAACAGCCACGGCGACGGUGGCGGCGGUGAUGAGGAAGUAGAUCCUCUGGAUGCUUUCAUGGAGGGGAUUCACGAGGAGGUGAGGUCAGCUCCGCCGCCGAAGCAGAAAGAGAAAGCCGAGAAGUACAAGGACGAUGAGGAGGAGGAUCACAUGGAGAGUUUUCUGAGGGCUAAGAAGGACGUGAUGCUGACGCUGGCAUCGGAUGCUUUACACGCCGGAUAUGACUCCGACGAGGAGGUAUAUGCGGCCGCCAAGGCCGUCGAUGCCGGGUUGUUGGAGUACGAUUCGGAUGAUAAUCCCAUUGUUCUUGACAAGAGGAAGAUCGAGCCAAUUCCAGCUCUCGAUCAUAGUUCAAUCGACUACGAGCCUUUUAAUAAGGAUUUUUACGAGGAGAAAGAGUCGAUUUCAGGGAUGAGUGAGGAGGAUGUUUUUGAGUACAAGAAGAGCUUGGCCAUCCGUGCGUCGGGUUUUGAUGUGCCGAGGCCGGUCAAGACAUUUGAAGACUCUGGAUUUUCUUCACAGCUCAUGACUGCCAUAAAAAAACAAGACUAUGUAAAGCCGACACCAAUACAGUGCCAAGCUCUACCCAUAGUUCUUUCCGGGAGAGAUAUCAUUGGUAUUGCGAAAACUGGUUCUGGAAAGACGGCUGCUUUUGUCCUUCCAAUGAUUGUCCACAUUAUGGAUCAGCCGGAACUUCAAAAAGAAGAGGGUCCUAUUGGAGUGAUAUGUGCACCUACUAGAGAGCUGGCGCACCAAAUAUACUUAGAGUCCAAGAAAUUUGCUAAAUCACAUGGGAUACGUGUCUCUGCUGUAUAUGGUGGAAUGUCUAAGCUUGAUCAGUUCAAAGAACUUAAGGCAGGAUGUGAAAUAGUUGUUGCUACUCCCGGGAGAUUAAUAGACAUGCUUAAAAUGAAGGCACUGACAAUGAUAAGGGCAACUUACCUAGUACUUGAUGAGGCUGAUCGGAUGUUUGACCUUGGGUUUGAGCCUCAAAUUAGGUCUAUUGUUGGUCAGAUUCGACCAGACCGACAGACAUUGCUCUUUUCUGCAACAAUGCCUCGUAAAGUUGAAAAGUUGGCUAGGGAGAUUCUCUCUGAUCCUAUAAGAGUUACAGUGGGUGAGGUGGGAAUGGCCAAUGAGGAUAUCACUCAGGUUGUUCAUGUAAUUCCUUCUGAUGCUGAUAAGUUGCCCUGGCUUCUUGAGAAGUUACCUGGAAUGAUUGAUGAGGGUGAUGUUUUAGUGUUUGCUUCGAAAAAAGCUGCAGUGGAUGAGAUUGAGUCACAGCUUGCUCAGACAGGUUUUAAAGUCACAGCUCUGCAUGGUGACAAGGACCAGGCAUCUCGGAUGGAUAUUUUGCAAAAAUUUAAAUCUGGCAUUUACCAUGUUCUUGUUGCAACUGAUGUUGCUGCCCGUGGUCUUGACAUCAAGUCAAUUAAGUCAGUUGUGAACUUUGAUAUUGCAAAAGACAUGGACAUGCACGUCCAUCGAAUUGGUAGAACAGGUCGUGCUGGUGAUAAGGAUGGCACUGCAUACACUCUUAUUACACAGAAAGAGGCACGUUUUGCUGGUGAGUUGGUUAAUAGCUUGGUUGCUGCUGGUCAGAUUGUUUCCACGGAGCUCAUGGACCUUGCGAUGAAGGAUGGGAGAUUCAGGUCCAAACGUGAUUCAAGAAAAGGAGGUGGAAAGAAAGGUAGAGGGAGGGGAGGCGGUGGCGGCGGUGGUCGAGGUGUGCGUGGGGUGGAUUUUGGUCUGGGAAUUGGAUAUAAUACGGAGUCCAAUAAUUCUUCAUCGCAUACCGUUGCUAGUCGAUCUGCUACAGUAACACCUGUGAGGACAGGAAUGAUGUCACAGUUCAAGACUAAAUUCGUUGCUGCUUCAUCCAACUCUCCAAGUCAAGCUUCAGGUAACAGCUAUAGUGCACCCAGCAGACCAGCAUUACGAGGCUUUGUAUCUGGUGGUUCAAUUGGUGGGGAUGUAUAUAGAACUCAGGCAACCAGUACAAUUGCUCCUGCUCUUACCCCCGCUCCUACAUCAGUGGUAAACGUAUCUUCUCAGAACUCUGGAGUAAAUGCAAGUCAGAAGCCCUCUGAAAGUUCUAGAGAUAAACCUAGAGAAAGGCGGAGGCGGUCUGGUUGGGACUGUUAAUCAUACAGUUGAACUACACCACUCUCACAUGUAUGAGAAGUUUUGUUUUUGAUGUGGAAGAUCCAAGUCCUGAUAUGCCUGUAUUAUUGUUGAUCUUGAUGGAGGAAAUUACUUGUCCUGAAAUUAAAAGUUAAAAAGGACAGAUAAGAGUGUUCCAGAUCAAGACCUCAAGUGGUGUAUACAAACGAUUUUUGAUGUUUCCCCAAAAUUUUAAUUUCGAAGUAGGGAGGUUGUUGAGUGGGAAGAAGGUGAGUAGAUAUUACUUAUCUCUGUUAGAGUUAAUUCGUUACUUGGCGUCACAAUGCCCGUAUGACAUUUUCUUUGAUAGUUCUUUACCACUGAGAGCCUCUUCAUCGACUAGCUUUGGAGGUUGUAGUCUAUGUUGGAUGUUUUACAGAUUUGUAAUUUAUAAGGCUUGGUUGUUGUUGUUGUUUUCGUUCUACCGCGUGGCUGCAUUUUUCUACCAAAACACUCCUCUCCUCGUCCAAAAACCAACAAAUCAAGGGUUUCAAGUGGAGCAGAGGUCACUUACCGAGCUAUGAAGGCCAGUGUCGUCCGUAAUUCUUACCAAAUCAAAUGCGUGCGUGAGGCCGUCACGUAGUUGAACUUGUAGCUAGACGUACAAACAUAGCAUUUGUAUGAUCAAAGCCAAAGGAACGUAUAACUGUGUAUAUAUGUGUUGCGAGUAUCAAAUUAUGAGUGAGCAAAUGGGAUUAUGGUUC
Pyrus x bretschneideri (Chinese white pear) is the source of this 3287-nucleotide RNA transcript. It is a transcript of the gene named DEAD-box ATP-dependent RNA helicase 24, with no coding region annotated. The transcript is spliced from 6 exons. NCBI's taxonomy places the organism in Eukaryota, Viridiplantae, Streptophyta, Magnoliopsida, Rosales, Rosaceae. The record is from RefSeq and is a predicted model, not a curated record.